Haplochromis burtoni (Burton's mouthbrooder) is the source of this 907-nucleotide long non-coding RNA. RefSeq lists it as uncharacterized. The record is from RefSeq and is a predicted model, not a curated record. Lineage: Eukaryota; Metazoa; Chordata; Actinopteri; Cichliformes; Cichlidae. The transcript is spliced from 4 exons.
UGGAAUUGAAAUGAAAGAAGUACUUUGACCCACCCACAGCUGAGCCGUGUCAUAGAGGAGGGGCCACUCUGUGUGUGAGUUUGUGUGUCAGUCCUUCAUGUCAGCAUUCAUCAGUUCGUUUGUCACUGGCAGAAACUUUGAUGGCAGCAGCACAGUUGACCAUGAGUGGUGUCACAACUGCCAAAGGCUUAGUUAUGAUUUUGACUCUGCUGUGUGUGCUCCAUCUUUCAAGUUCCCUGAUAAACAAGGAUGAACUGGAGGAGUUGAAGGGAAACGUUGAAACUUUACAAAAGGAAACAGCGAGAAGGAAGGCUGAAAAUAAUUUAGACAGAGCCUACGUUCCAGUUAUUCUUGAUGAUGUUAAACGUCUCAUGGAUCCUAUGUUCGAACUUAUAAAGUCAAUGAAACGUUUUACAUCACUGCUUAACCAGUGUUGGAUUUAAUGGAUGACCUAAAGACUUUCAUUGGAGCCAGCAAGGAGUACAUGAAUAAGUACUUUGAGACAACAGCUGCAGAAAUCAAUGACAAUGAAGAGAAACUACGCAGUGUGAUGGCAACACUAACACAACUAGAAAAUAAUAAAGAUGAACUGUAGCAUGUUAGUCAGCGUCUGUCUCUGGUAUUAAAUGUUCUGUAUGUGAAAAACUUCUCUUUCAUACUGUGCUGCUUCUAAAUCAAAGCUAACUGAACACUUGACUUGUAAACUCUGACAAGAAUCGUUUUGUCACACUUUUUCACUGUCUUUGUUAUAUCAGGUCUAACGCAAACACAAAACACUAAACUGAGAUUUGUCUCUUUAGAAAUCAUAUUAAAUCUGACAGUUAAUGAUAAAACUGGUAUUAUUGGGUGUUUCUGCAAAUUGUGACAUUUGUAAUUAAAGACAGAAGCAGUUGCUGAUUGUUCUCUA